UGGGGAAUUUUGGGCAAUGGGCGAAAGCCUGACCCAGCAACGCCGUGUGAAGGAUGAAGUAUUUCGGUAUGUAAACUUCGAAAGAAUAGGAAGAAUAAAUGACGGUACUAUUUAUAAGGUCCGGCUAACUACGUGCCAGCAGCCGCGGUAAUACGUAGGGACCAAGCGUUGUUCGGAUUUACUGGGCGUAAAGGGCGCGUAGGCGGCAAUUCAAGUCAUCUGUGAAAUCUCCGGGCUUAACUCGGAACGGUCAGAUGAUACUGCUUUGCUAGAGUGCAGAAGGGGCAAUCGGAAUUCUUGGUGUAGCGGUGAAAUGCGUAGAUAUCAAGAGGAACACCUGAGGUGAAGACGGGUUGCUGGGCCGACACUGACGCUGAGGCGCGAAAGCCAGGGGAGCAAACGGGAUUAGAUACCCCCGUAGUCCCUGAGCGGGCUGGCAAGGCGCAU
RNAcentral lists this ribosomal RNA (447 nucleotides) under uncultured bacterium. RNAcentral's name for it is "bacterial SSU rRNA". It matches the Rfam family "Bacterial small subunit ribosomal RNA", at positions 355 to 825 of the family's 1533-position model. The record is from RNAcentral.